Long non-coding RNA from Acanthopagrus latus (yellowfin seabream), 3781 nucleotides. RefSeq lists it as uncharacterized. The transcript is spliced from 5 exons. NCBI's taxonomy places the organism in Eukaryota, Metazoa, Chordata, Actinopteri, Spariformes, Sparidae. The record is from RefSeq and is a predicted model, not a curated record.
CAGGAAGUCAGCGGCCGCCAAGUUCUUCAGGUAAACUGUCAUGCUGCUGGAUGCCUGACGAUGAGCUCGGCAGAAGUAAAACUUCAUGAUGAAGGCAUUGAGGGAGAAACCGGCCUGCACAGAAACCAGAAACACCAGACUGUAGACAACGAUGAAGAAAGGGUCUGCCGAGGUGUCGACGUCAACACAACCGUCGACUGCUGUCUGGUUUGUAGCUGUCGACUGGUUGACAGAUGAGGUCAUUUCUACAAAUCCUUGGUCACUCAUAUUUCUGGUCGAUCUAAACGAGAUGAACCCAAAUCACAGAACGCCUUACACACAAAACACACCGUAUGUGGCAGAAAUUCUUCCAAACAGCAGAAUAAAUCAUUCAUAACGUGAUCAUGACCAAAUGAUCAAGAUAUGAUACUUACAGGAACCACCGGAGGAUUCAACUUACCAUCAACUCUAACACACAUCCCACUCAGCUGUCAAAUAUAGAUUAUAGAUUUUUAGAUAUUAAAUGUUUUAAAGCCGUAGAAGUGCAAAAAACGGAGAUUAAAUACCUGCAGUGUUUCCCUGUGUGUCUGAGGGGAUCUGUGAGAAAGCCUGGUCACUGGACUGCUUCCUUCUAUUCUGCUUUUACAGCGGAAGCAAAAUCACGUGCUUAUGACGUCUUCAAAUUCAUGCCUGUAGAUAAGCUUAAAAACCACACACACUCACACACUGCUGUUGAGAUGCAACCUUGUCUUCCUGUCUAGUUCUGAUGAACAAGCCACGAUUACCACUGACAACAUUUACAGGCCAUGUUGUCGGCUCAUGGAGCCACAAUGUUUAUUUUUGUUCUGUGGCCCCAGAAAUGGCUGGAAAAUGUGCCAUAUCAUACUAAAAUAUAUCAGGUUUUCGCACCACAAAAUGGGAUUUUUUUUGUUGUUGUUGCUAAAGUGGCUGUAAACGUCCCAAUAUCUUGUUUAAUGUCUGGUAUUGUCACCACAAAUACAGCUGGUAAAUGUCCCAGUGUCUCAUUAAAAACAUCCAGUGGUGUCACCCGUUGAAACACAGCUGUAAUGCCAUCAUCCAUCCCCUCCACCUGUCAACAUAAAAGUCCUGCUGGACAUGACAUGUACAAAUCUGAACCUAUUCAUGGUUUGCAAAACUGUAAGAAAAAUAAAAUGGCAACAUUUUAUCUGGCAACUUUGCUGAAAAGUCAAUGUAAAGAGGAGAUUACACUGCCACAUACAUGAUGUUCCUGUCUGUCAGUAAUUUAACUCCAUGCUUAUCCUGGGAUUUAUUGAUCUGCUUCCUAAACAUCCAGAGAUUGGAGGAGAAAAGGAAAGAGGCUGGAGGGAAAUAACCAAAAGAGCAUGGAAAAAAGUUUCUGAUGAGUUCUGAGUUCACUCAGAGGCCGAGUUGAGCACAAACUUGGUGGCAGGUUGGUGCAUCUGAUGCUAGCUAGCUUGGAGCUAACAUGUUUAUGGAGGUUAAUUAAUUGGCUUAUCAAGGACAAAUAAACACAAAUGGAAACAAUGAAAAACAGAUUAACUUUUUGAGUAAUUAGGUUUAAUGUUUGGACGGAGAUGGACUGCUCUCUGGGCGUUAGUCAAGGACUUCAAAUGUUGACGUCAUGAGUACAAAUUUACACAGUGCACCUGGAAGAGUUCAACGUUCUGAAAAUGUGAUUAUAUACAUUUUUCUUAGUUUUUCUCUAUCAUGGUUCUGUGUCUGGUUGUGUCUUAUUUUUUGAUUUCCAUGCCCUCGUGUGUCUUGUCAGUGUCUCUGUUUUUUCUCUGCUUUUCCCUUCCACCUUGUGCAUGUUUGUCUCCCUCUGUCUGCCACUGUUAUAUCUCGUUAUAUCGCAUCCCCCUCGUUAUCUCACCUGCCCUCUUCCCUCCUCUCUCUCCUCACCUGCUCCCCAUCCCCUCAUCAGUGUCUGUGCAUUUAAGCCUUUGGUCCCAAUUCACUUCUUGUCAGUUCGUUGUGUGUGAUUCACCAUGAUGUAUCCUGUGUCUCCUCCUGUGUUAUCCCCGUUGGUACGUUUUGGAUUGUGGAUUUUUGCAUUUUGAUUUUUACUUUGUUGAAGCUUUUUUGUUGCACUUUGCUUAGCCAUUUUAGCUGCUACUUUGUUUUCUGGUCCCUGGAUUGAUUUUCGUUUGUGCUCUUCAUUUUUGUAUAUCUCAGCUUUUUGCAAUUAAAGCUCACCUUUUGUUCUCCUAUCUUGCCUCCCAUUUGUCUGCAUUUGGGUUCACCGUUUUCCCUUUUAAAGUGUGACAGAACGAACUGACCAUAAAAAUGGACCCAGCAGACAUUUGUAAACUCAUAGGCAUUCGAGACACAUGGUCUGCCUGUUGUAGUGGCAGGAUAGGACUGGCGGAUGACUAUCUUGGAUUUUGAAAAGAAUCUAAUUGAUGGGCCCUCUUUGAGAGAGGUUCAGGGUACUGUGGGGAUAAUAUCUGAGACUGAUGGGGUUGGGUUGCAGGGCAGCACUUACCAUGAACUAGCUUGCCAACAGCUUGUUAGCCUCUCCUCAGCUCCGGUGCUAGCUAGUCGUCAGUCGAUUAGCCUUCUGUCUGCUCCAGAACCUGACAGUGGUUCUCAGUUGGCUCUCAGGCCAACACCUGCCAGUGUCCCUCCGUUGGCAGCUCUGCCAGCUUCUCUCCCAGCCCCCUCUCCAAGAGGGCUAAGCUCCCUGAGGUCUGGCGCCCUUUUUUGCUGUUCCUCACCGCCACCCAGGGCUUCAGCCCCUCUGCUGUCCUGCACCCUGGAGCCAUGCCUGGUCAGUGCCUCUGAACCGUGCCAGCCUGGAGUCAGCGGCCGGGUCGACAUCUGAGAGUUCGCCGUCGGCUUCCCGAGGGUUUACGCCUUCGCCGCCGGCUUCCAGUGGGUCCCAGCCUUUGUCUUCGCCGCCGGCCUACUGAGGGUCAAAGCCUUUGGCCUCCCGAGGCUCUCAGCCUUUGUCUCUGCCGUCAGCCUCCCGAGGUUCUCAACCCUCGCCCCUGCCCCUACUGUCAGCCUCCUGAGGGUCUCAGCCCUCGCCCCUGCCCCUACUGUCAGCCUCCUGAGGGUCUCAGCCCUCGCCCCUGCCCCUACUGUCAGCCUCCCGAGGUUCUCAGCCCUCGUCCCUGCCCCUACUGUCAGCCUCCUGAGGGUCUCAGCCCUCGCCCCUGCCCCUACUGUCAGCCUCCCGAGGUUCUCAGCCCUCGUCCCUGCCCCUACUGUCGGCCUCCUGAGGGUCUCAGCCCUCGCCUCCACCCUCCCAGCUUGUGUGUGAUUCUCCAUGAUGUAACCUGUCUUCUGUCAUAGAAAAACAAUACAGUGGCCGAAUGACCUCAGCUUAUACUGUAUAAAUCAUUUAAUCAUAAUGAUAAUAUUUAUGACACUGUAGGUCUCUGUGAGCAAAGCUUCUGGGUGUCACAUGCUUCCACAGACCCGCCCCAUACAGACUAUAUAAAGGUUCCCACCAGGAUUUAUUUCCACAGACUGACCUGACUGAGUCCAAUGCAUCUGUGAACCCUGCUCUCUGUGAUGAUGUUGCAGAGUUUGGCACAGAAGAAGAACCCCCCAAAAAAGUGUAACAUAGGCCUCCCCUCUCCGGCUAAGCUGGGCCCUGAACGCCUUGCAGAAGAUGAAGUAGAUGAGUGGGUCCAGGCAGACGUUCAGAGUUGAAACCAUGACCGUCACCUCCAUCAGCUUCUUGGAGCUGGAGGACGUCGGCUGCCUCUGCCGCGCCUCUGACACCCUGCGGGAGGUGUUAUAAUAGAAGAAGAUCAAGGAGACCAGGACAAACAGGAAGCUGACGGUGGAG